Solanum tuberosum (potato) is the source of this 92-nucleotide non-coding RNA. NCBI's taxonomy places the organism in Eukaryota, Viridiplantae, Streptophyta, Magnoliopsida, Solanales, Solanaceae. The record is from Rfam.
GUGACAGAAGAGAGUGAGCACACAUGGUGUUUUCUGGCAUGAUGUUUAUAUUUAUGCUUGAAACUAUGUGUGCUCACUGCUCUAUCUGUCAC